CACGUAGGGGGCGAGCGUUGUCCGGAUUUAUUGGGCGUAAAGAGCUCGUAGGCGGCUCAGUAAGUCGGGUGUGAAAACUCCAGGCUCAACCUGGAGACGCCACCUGAUACUGCUGUGGCUAGAGUCCGGUAGGGGAGCAUGGAAUUCCUGGUGUAGCGGUGAAAUGCGCAGAUAUCAGGAGGAACACCAGUGGCGAAGGCGGUGCUCUGGGCCGGAACUGACGCUGAGGAGCGAAGGCGUGGGGAGCAAACAGG
RNAcentral lists this ribosomal RNA (254 nucleotides) under uncultured bacterium. Its description in RNAcentral is "partial 16S ribosomal RNA". It matches the Rfam family "Bacterial small subunit ribosomal RNA", at positions 524 to 776 of the family's 1533-position model. The record is from RNAcentral.